CCUGUCUGCCACUAAUUAUCCUCCCUAUAUUAGUUCCUGUCUGUCUGAGCUUGAGUUGUCGGUUAUUGUCGGUGAAUGAGACACACACACUC
This is a long non-coding RNA of Sinocyclocheilus rhinocerous, 92 nucleotides long. RefSeq lists it as uncharacterized. NCBI's taxonomy places the organism in Eukaryota, Metazoa, Chordata, Actinopteri, Cypriniformes, Cyprinidae. The record is from RefSeq and is a predicted model, not a curated record. The transcript is spliced from 3 exons.